Molecule: long non-coding RNA, 711 nt
Filed under: Equus caballus (horse)
Lineage: Eukaryota; Metazoa; Chordata; Mammalia; Perissodactyla; Equidae
Description: lncRNA (ENSECAG00000053161.1)
Source: RNAcentral
CUUGGUGAUGGCUGAAUUAGAAAAGAUGCUGAGACACCCGGGGUAUGGAGCAAGCAGCAACCGUAACGGGAAGGGUCAUUUUACUCAAGGAGUUUCCUCUGAGCCAAGUUUUCACUAGAGACCCAGCCCACAGUUACUUCCCACCAUGAGGAAGCACGUACCUACGGUGGCCGCGGAAAGCAGGGAGCCCCUUCUGAUUACUAUCGGAGCAGGCUUAUGUUUACGCCACUUGUUUUCGCAAGGGAGCUUAAGGUCUUCCUUCUGUGAAGCGAAGAGAGGAGUGUUGACGGUGCCUGUUUUUCUGUAAUGGACCUAUUUGGCAAAAUGAGAUAACCGAGACUUGCCCCAAAUCAUAUAAGUAGAGGUAGAGCCAGGGCUUGACCCCAGGCCGGCAGGACUCCAGUGCUCGUUGUCUCCAGUGCAGCCCCUUGCACAAGUGCCGGCAUUCUCCCAACUUCCAGCUGACCAUCUCCGGCUGUAAGUUCCACCAGCACCUCGAAUUUAAUAUGUGAAAGCAAAAUUCAUGCCUCCUCUGUCUGCUCCGGUUAGCAUCCCUGUUCUUCCUCUCUCAGGCUUAAAACCUCCACUUGUUCUUUUCUCUUCCCACUCCUUUCUUGCCCCAUCCAGAAGGUUGCCUGGCCUCAUCGACGUCCGACCCAGACUUCCCAUUCCUGUGGCUGCGUGGCAGGCGAGCCCAUGCGGCCUCUCCCC